UGCUAGUCGAGUGGCUCAGCCAAUACGAGCCACGGCAUACAGCUCAGUAACACGUGGCUAAUCUGCCCUUAGGACGAGAACAACCCCGGGAAACUGGGGCUAACUCUCGAUAGGCGAAGAACUCUGGAAUGAGUCUUCACCUAAAUAGUUCAGCGUUACGCUCGUUGGACCGCCUAAGGAUGAGGCCGCGACCGAUCAGGUUGUUGGUGAGGUAAUAGGCUCACCAAGCCUUUUACCGGUGCGGGCCGUGAGAGCGGGAGCCCGGAGAUGGGCACUGAGACAAGGGCCCAGGCCCUACGGGGCGCAGCAGUCGCGAAAACUUUGCAAUACACGAAAGUGUGACAGGGCUAUCCCGAGUGCCAUCCGCUGAGGAAGGCUUUUACCCAGUCUAGAAAGCUGGGGGAAUAAGGAGAGGGCAAGUCUGGUGUCAGCCGCCGCGGUAAUACCAGCUCUCCGAGUGGUGUGGAUGUUUAUUGGGCCUAAAGCAUCCGUAGCUGGCUAAGUUAGUCCCUUGUUAAAUCCACCGAAUUAAUCGUUGGAUUGCGGGGGAUACUGCUUGGCUAGGGGACGAGAGAGGCAGACGGUAUUUCCGGGGUAGGGGUGAAAUCCUAUAAUCCCGGGGAAGACCGCCAGUGGCGAAGGCUGUCUGCUAGAACGCGCCCGACGGUGAGGGAUGAAAGCUGGGGGAGCGAACCGGAUUAGAUACCCGGGUAGUCCCAGCUGUAAACGAUGCAGCUAGGUGUUUGGACGGCCACGUGCCGUUCUAGUGCCGCAGGAAGCUGUUAAGCCUGCCGCCUGGGGAGUACGAUCGCAAGAUUGAAACUUAA
RNAcentral lists this ribosomal RNA (827 nucleotides) under uncultured crenarchaeote. RNAcentral's name for it is "bacterial SSU rRNA". It matches the Rfam family "Archaeal small subunit ribosomal RNA", at positions 52 to 859 of the family's 1478-position model. Lineage: Archaea; Thermoproteati; Thermoproteota. The record is from RNAcentral.